CCUUUAUUUCCAAUUUGAGGGAGUCCCACAGAAGUCUAGGAUCUAUUUCAUUUUUUCCUAUCUCAUUACUUUGUUUUUGUAUAAUUUGAUUUAUUUUGUCUUCGUAUUCUUGCUCGUCGAGAAUACCGUUGUUAAUUUUCCAAUAUCCCGGGCCUCUUGUUUCAGAUGAUACAGAUUGUAAUUGUAUUGAUACUGCUUGGUGGUCAGUACUUUUAAUAAGAAUAGGCCUAAUAUCACAUGACUUUACGUUUAACACGAAGUCUUUUUUAACAAGGAACAUGUCAAUUCUACUAGACUGGACUGGA
This 305-nucleotide long non-coding RNA is filed under the name Mytilus galloprovincialis (Mediterranean mussel). The record is from RNAcentral. Lineage: Eukaryota; Metazoa; Mollusca; Bivalvia; Mytilida; Mytilidae.